Molecule: ribosomal RNA, 510 nt
Filed under: uncultured Glomus
Lineage: Eukaryota; Fungi; Glomeromycota; Glomeromycetes; Glomerales; Glomeraceae
Description: SSU rRNA
Rfam family: Eukaryotic small subunit ribosomal RNA
Source: RNAcentral
AGCAGCCGCGGUAAUUCCAGCUCCAAUAGCGUAUAUUAAAGUUGCUGCAGUUAAAAAGCUCGUAGUUGAAUUUCGGGACCAAUAUGUCGGUCGUGCCUCGGUACGUACUGGCAUCGUUGGUUUCUCCCUUCUGACGAACCAUGAUGUCAUUCAUUUGGUGUCGUGGGGAAUCAGGACUGUUACUUUGAAAAAUUAGAGUGUUUGAAGCAGGCUCACGCUUGAAUACAUUAGCAUGGAAUAAUGAAAUAGGACGUUUGAUUCUAUUUUGUUGGUUUCUAGGAUCGACGUAAUGAUUAAUAGGGAUAGUCGGGGGCAUUAGUAUUCAAUGGUCAGAGGUGAAAUUCUUGGAUUUAUUGAAGACUAACUACUGCGAAAGCGUUUGCCAAGGAUUGUUUUCAUUAAUCAAGAACGAAGUUAGGGGAUCGAAGACGAUCAGAUACCGUCGUAGUCUUAACCAUAAACUAUGCCGACUAGGGAUCGGAUGAUGUUAAUUUUAUAAUUGACUCAUUC